GAGACUUGAAGACACACAAUUUGGUUAGCAUUUUGUUUCUCUUUGUUCAUGUGAUAUAAUUCUUCAUAGCAUUAACAGUAACUCUGAAAAUCUUUCCUGUGAAAUUGCACCAGAGCCAUUCACUUAGGUUUUGAAAAUUUGUGCCUUAUUGCUUCUGUUUUUGUUGUUUGAGAGUGGAUGAAUUGUUUGAUUGUCUUUUUUCUUAAAGAUGACACUGCAUAAUCUGUUCAGUGGUUUUCUGAAACAAGAUCAAAAGCAAGCUUUUUCAUUUGUUGUAGUGAAUGUUGUAAUUAGAAAGUUCUCCUCCUUUUAUACUUCUUGCUAGUCAUAAUGAAGAUUUCACCCCUAGCUCCUUGGCAUUUGAGAGCUCAAACCAUAUGUGAAUUGAGUCAUUGUGCACCAUAAUGGUAAGCAAUUGAGACAUUAUGUCAUGAGAAAUCCCUUCCCAAAGAUAUUUUUUUUUAUUUUUUUUAAGGAUCUUAACUCCUUUUCUCAUAUAGAAAUUAUCUUAUGAACAAAAUUCCCUCCCCACCCUUGUGCUCAUUCCUGACAACAUGGACAUUAACGUCAUUGCUUUUCCUCUUUUUGCAUGUAGAGAUUCUUGGCAUAUUUUUGUUGAGUGUUGAAAAAGCAUGGUACUUUGUUGAGAAAUCUUUAUAUCUUGCUCAACAAUCUCUUGCAUUAAUUUCUUUGCAUGCAUUAUAUAAGAAAUGCAUUAACCUGAAAAACCUUGAUAAUAAUGAAGGAUUUAAAUUAAAACUUAUCUUGAAUUUCAAUAAUCAAUUUUAUACAGUAGGAAGAUUGCUUAGCAAAAUGAGUUGCAACAACAUAUAAUCUUCAUGAGCGUUCAACAGUUGUGCCCCUUUAGUGAAGAAUGAAGUAGCGGAAGCAUGAAAAUUGUUAGAUUAGAACAU
This 914-nucleotide unclassified non-coding RNA is filed under the name Hevea brasiliensis (rubber tree). The record is from RNAcentral. Lineage: Eukaryota; Viridiplantae; Streptophyta; Magnoliopsida; Malpighiales; Euphorbiaceae.